UGGAUCCAGACUUUGAUUCUGGCUCAGGAUGAACGCUGGCGGCGUGCCUAACACAUGCAAGUCGGACGGGCUUAACUUGAAACCUAGUGAUUGUUAAGUUAGUGGCGGACGGGUGAGUAACGCGUGGAUAACCUGCCGUAUGCAGGGGGAUAACAGCUGGAAACAGCUGCUAAUACCGCAUAAGCGCACAGUACCGCAUGGUACGGUGUGAAAAGAUUUAUCGGCAUAUGAUGGAUCCGCGUCCGAUUAGCCAGUUGGCGGGGUAACGGCCCACCAAAGCGACGAUCGGUAGCCGGCCUGAGAGGGCGGACGGCCACAUUGGGACUGAGACACGGCCCAAACUCCUACGGGAGGCAGCAGUGGGGAAUAUUGCACAAUGGGGGGAACCCUGAUGCAGCGACGCCGCGUGAGUGAAGAAGUAAUUCGUUACGUAAAGCUCUAUCAGCAGGAAAGAAAAAUGACGGUACCUGACUAAGAAGCCCCGGCUAACUACGUGCCAGCAGCCGCGGUAAUACGUAGGGGGCAAGCGUUAUCCGGAUUUACUGGGUGUAAAGGGAGCGUAGACGGCACAGCAAGUCCGGAGUGAAAACCCACGGCCCAACCGUGGGACUGCUCUGGAAACUGUUGGGCUUGAGUGCGGGAGGGGCAGGCGGAAUUCCUAGUGUAGCGGUGAAAUGCGUAGAUAUUAGGAGGAACACCGGCGGCGAAGGCGGCCUGCUGGACCGUAACUGACGUUGAGGCUCGAAAGCGUGGGGAGCAAACAGGAUUAGAUACCCUGGUAGUCCACGCCGUAAACGAUGAUUACUAGGUGUCGCGGUACGAAGUACUGCGGUGCCGCCGCAAACGCAGUAAGUAAUCCACCUGGGGAGUACGUUCGCAAGAAUGCAACUCAAAUGAAUUGACGGA
Molecule: ribosomal RNA, 906 nt
Filed under: uncultured Bacillota bacterium
Lineage: Bacteria; Bacillati; Bacillota
Description: bacterial SSU rRNA
Rfam family: Bacterial small subunit ribosomal RNA
Source: RNAcentral